Molecule: ribosomal RNA, 398 nt
Filed under: uncultured bacterium
Lineage: Bacteria
Description: bacterial SSU rRNA
Rfam family: Bacterial small subunit ribosomal RNA
Source: RNAcentral
AUUGAACGCUGGCGGCAUGCCUUACACAUGCAAGUCGAACGGCAGCACGGGAGCAAUCCUGGUGGCGAGUGGCGAACGGGUGAGUAAUAUAUCGGAACGUGCCCAGUCGUGGGGGAUAACGUAGCGAAAGCUACGCUAAUACCGCAUACGAUCUAUGGAUGAAAGCGGGGGAUCGCAAGACCUCGCGCGAUUGGAGCGGCCGAUAUCAGAUUAGGUAGUUGGUGAGGUAAAGGGCUCACCAAGCCGACGAUCUGUAGCUGGUCUGAGAGGACGACCAGCCACACUGGGACUGAGACACGGCCCAGACUCCUACGGGAGGCAGCAGUGGGGAAUUUUUGGACAAUGGGCGCAAGCCUGAUCCAGCAAUGCCGCGUGCAGGAUGGAAGGGCCUUCGGGUU